RNAcentral lists this ribosomal RNA (559 nucleotides) under uncultured eukaryote. Its description in RNAcentral is "bacterial SSU rRNA". It matches the Rfam family "Eukaryotic small subunit ribosomal RNA", at positions 30 to 554 of the family's 1831-position model. The record is from RNAcentral.
GCUUGUUUCGAGAAUUAAGCCAUGCAAGUCUGAGAGUAAACGUUAUACGUGGGUCUGCGAACGGCUCAUUAAAACAGAGAUAAUCUGCACGGUGAAAGGGACUGCUCGUCAGUCCACACUGGAUAACCCCACUUCAGGAAACGGGGGCUAAUACCUGGUCGAAAAGAGCCUCUUCAAAAGUGCCCGGGUCAAACCGGGACUGGAGGUCUCUGCUCUUACCCGUCACUUCAACCAACGCUCGCAAGAGCAGCGGCUUAGUGAUGAUUCAGGGUAAAGAGUCAAAGCGUUCGCGCGUGACCGUAUAGAGUCUCUGCCCUAUCAGCUAGAUGGUAGCGUAUUGGGCUACCAUGGCAACAACGGGUACGUGGAAUUAGGGUUCGAUUCCGGAGAGGGAGCCUGAGAGAUGGCUGCUACUUCUACGGAGGGCAGCAGGCGUGAAAAUUGCCCACUCGCAAUACAUUGCGGAGGCAGCGAAGAGGAAUACCGCCUGAACGGGGUUUACCUCGUUUGUGGUUGGAAUGAGUAGUACGUAAAAUCACUGCUGAGUAACAAUUGGAGG